UAACGAUAGAAGUCAACCCGGCUCUCCCGCAAGGGUCUGCCGGGCACACCUUCCACCCUUUGUUUACCACACCUUUGUUGCUUUGGCAAGCCCGUCCUCGGACCGCCGGCUCCGGCCGGCCCGCGCUUGCCAGAGGACCUAAACUCUGUUUGUCUAUAUUGUCUGAGUACUAUAUAAUAGUUAAAACUUUCAACAACGGAUCUCUUGGUUCUGGCAUCGAUGAAGAACGCAGCGAAAUGCGAUAAGUAAUGUGAAUUGCAGAAUUCAGUGAAUCAUCGAAUCUUUGAACGCACAUUGCGCCCCUUGGUAUUCCGGGGGGCAUGCCUGUCCGAGCGUCAUUACAACCCUCAAGCUCUGCUUGGUAUUGGGCCCCGCCGACCCGGCGGGCCCUAAAGUCAGUGGCGGUGCCGUCUAGCUCCGAGCGUAGUAAUUCUUCUCGCUCCGGAGGCCUAGGCGCGUGCCCGCCAGCAACCCCCAUUCUUUUAAGGUUGACCUCGGA
This 499-nucleotide ribosomal RNA is filed under the name Ascomycota sp. BEA-2010. RNAcentral describes it as "eukaryotic LSU rRNA". The stretch from base 185 to 338 matches the Rfam family "5.8S ribosomal RNA". Lineage: Eukaryota; Fungi; Ascomycota. The record is from RNAcentral. RNAcentral also lists the same sequence under 1 other name.